Molecule: ribosomal RNA, 892 nt
Filed under: uncultured bacterium
Lineage: Bacteria
Description: bacterial SSU rRNA
Rfam family: Bacterial small subunit ribosomal RNA
Source: RNAcentral
CUCAGGACGAACGCUGGCGGCGUGCCUAACACAUGCAAGUCGAACGGAGAUUUCAGCAAUGGAAUUUUAGUGGCGAACGGGUGAGUAACGCGUAGACACCUGCCUUCUAGAUGGGACAACACUGCGAAAGUGGUGCUAAUACCGAAUGUCGUAUUAAGUACGCAUGUAUUUGAUACCAAAGGUGGCCUCUGAACAUGCUACCGCUAGAAGAUGGGUCUGCGUCUGAUUAGCUAGUUGGUGAGGUAAUGGCUCACCAAGGCGACGAUCAGUAGCCGGUCUGAGAGGAUGAACGGCCACACUGGGACUGAGACACGGCCCAGACUCCUACGGGAGGCAGCAGUGGGGAAUCUUCCGCAAUGGACGAAAGUCUGACGGGCAACGCCGCGUGAGUGAAGAAGGUUUUCGGAUCGUAAAGCUCUGUCUUUUAGGACGAAUGUAUUCUAUGUAAAUAAUGUAGGAUAAUGACGGUACUGAAGGAGGAAGCCACGGCUAACUACGUGCCAGCAGCCGCGGUAAUACGUAGGUGGCGAGCGUUGUCCGGAAUCAUUGGGCGUAAAGGGCGCGUAGGCGGGAUGAUCAGUCUGUCUUAAAAGUUCGGGGCUCAACCCCGUGAUGGGAUAGAAACUGUCAUUCUUGAGUGCAGGAGAGGAAAGUGGAAUUCCCAGUGUAGCGGUGAAAUGCGUAGAUAUUGGGAGGAACACCAGUGGCGAAGGCGACUUUCUGGACUGUGUCUGACGCUGAGGCGCGAAAGCUAGGGAAGUGAACGGGAUUAGUUACCCCGGUAAUCCUACCCGUCAACGAUGGGUACUAGGUGUAGUGGGUAUCGACCCCUUGUGCGCCGGAGUGAACGCGAAUAAGUACCCCGCCUGGGGAGUACGGCCGGAAGGCUAAA